RNAcentral lists this long non-coding RNA (483 nucleotides) under Mytilus galloprovincialis (Mediterranean mussel). The record is from RNAcentral. Lineage: Eukaryota; Metazoa; Mollusca; Bivalvia; Mytilida; Mytilidae.
CAUGCUGGUACGGAAUAUACACUAGAGUGCAUGGAUAAAAAAGGGAAAGAUUGUACGUCCUUUUAUUUACUUUAAUGUCUCAUGUACAAAAAUAUUUUCAAUCCAGAAUAUACAACAUAUGUCAUAUGCAACAUAAUUGGCACCUUAACUUUAAACAUUUAAGGGUAAUUUAACAUGGGUCGAUACCACUUAAAAAGAAGAUAACAACAAACAAAAAAAGAACCCCAAGGAAAAUUCAAAAUGGAAAUUCCCUCAUCAAACUACAAAUCAAAAGCUCAAACACUUCAAACGAAUGGAAAACCACUGUCAUAUUUUUGACUGGGAUAAAGUAUUCCUUUAUGCAGAAAAUAGUGAAACAAGCCAGGUUUUAAAGCUAGCGGAACCUCUCACUUAUAUGACAUUCGUAUGAAAUUCCAUUAUAUUGACAACAAUGUGUGAGCAAAACAAACAGACAUGUUAGGUAAAAAUGUCAAUAAAUUGGGG